GUAAAAAUAUACUGUAAGUCUCUCUGGAUAAGAGUGUCUGCUAAAUGACUAAAA
This is a non-coding RNA of Salmo salar (Atlantic salmon), 54 nucleotides long. The record is from Rfam. NCBI's taxonomy places the organism in Eukaryota, Metazoa, Chordata, Actinopteri, Salmoniformes, Salmonidae.